UAGGGAAUAUUAGUAAUGGGCGAAAGCCUGAACUAGCAACGCCGCGUGUGCGAAGAAGGCCUUCGGGUUGUAAAGCACUUUUUGAGAGGAUGAGGAAGGACUGUACUCUCAGAAUAAGUCUCGGCUAACUACGUGCCAGCAGCCGCGGUAACACGUAGGAGGCGAACGUUAUCCGGAUUUACUGGGCGUAAAGCGCGUGUAGGUGGUUUGGUAAGUAGGGCGUGAAAGCUCCUGGCUCAGCUGGGAGGGGCCGUUCUAAACUGCCGAACUAGAGGAUGGUAGAGGGAGGUGGAAUUCCGGGUGUAGCGGUGGAAUGCGCAGAUAUCCGGAGGAACACCAGUGGCGAAAGCGGCCUCCUGGACCAUUCCUGACACUCAGACGCGAAAGCUAGGGUAGCAAACGG
This 403-nucleotide ribosomal RNA is filed under the name uncultured bacterium. RNAcentral's name for it is "bacterial SSU rRNA". It matches the Rfam family "Bacterial small subunit ribosomal RNA", at positions 355 to 775 of the family's 1533-position model. The record is from RNAcentral.